Molecule: long non-coding RNA, 4218 nt
Organism: Homo sapiens (human)
Lineage: Eukaryota; Metazoa; Chordata; Mammalia; Primates; Hominidae
Source: Ensembl
GUGGUAGAUAUAGGUCUGUUUAUUUUUAAAUGUGUUUUUCUUUGUACUUUUUCGUUCUGAAAACUCUUGCAUUUUCAUUUAAUAUCACUCAUUAUAAAGUUUAUCUCUGAAGUAGGAUGUAUUUUCUGAUCAUAUUUUCAUUUCUUAGAAAUAUAUUGUAUUUUAAUACCUCAAUUUUAUCAGUAUUUUUAUAUAUACUUGUUUGCUUGGGGGAAGAUAUGAGUGAGAGAAGCUUUGCACUUCUUUCUCUAUGGGUAAAAAAAUAAAAAGUUAAUUUUAGCAUUAGAAUUUAUUUUAGCUUACUAUAUUCAGGGGAAUGCAAAUAGCAAAAUUUCUAUUCUUCUCAACACUCUUUCCAAGAUGAAAUGUGCUCAGAUUGUUCAAACCUAACUUAAUAGCUAUUAGAAUCUGUCUUGUCGAAAGUCUCAGAUUCUUUAUUUUACUCUUUGUAGCAGCAGGACUCUUUGGUCCAACUGCCCGAAAAACUAUUGUCAAGAAAAUGCCCAGUGACCUCCAAACUCCUGACCUUUCAAUUACCUCAGUGGAUGGACCGAGAGAAAGGUGACUUUUAAUAAAACACAAAUAAUAUCACUAAACCAUCAAAAAUUGAAUCCCAAGACGGUUUCUCACUAAAUUUUAUUUUCCCUGCCUCCCUCAAAGGAACUGUGUAUUGAAGUUCUCCAUCUGCUGAUGAUCUCUUAGGCUUAUCUCGGUGUAGUACAUCCAUUUAGCAAUGCAGAUAAUCAGCAUUUGCAGAAUGGCACUCAGUUUUGCAGCUGAAAAGAUUAGAGUAUACAAUCCACCAUUCAUUCUCAAGGGAAGGAGUCAUCGCAUUGAAGCAGUCUAAUUAUGGCCAUCAGUCCAAAUGGCAUGGUGGCCAAGGAUCAACCCCACCAGCAUAGGAAGUUCCAGGCUCCAAGAAAGCCCAGAGGUUUUGGAAUUAGUGAGCUAAGUGAGUUUGCCUCAUUCCCACACAUCUUGCUCCUCACUUCCUUUACUGUGCCCUGUGGUUGGUGACAUGACUGCAUAUCUGCCACUUCUCACCACUUUGUAUAUUCACCCUGCCUUGUCUUGAUUUCUCAUCUUGAUAAUUCUCCCAUCUUUUGCUCAAGACACUUUUAAACAACUCUCAGAGUAACAUCCUUCUUUGGCCCUAGUGAGCAUUUGAAAUAUGUUCUAUAUUCUAAAGAUCCAGAACAUGUGGGCAUUUUCACGAUCCAGCCUGUCACCAUGUGUUGUUUAGCCACACGUGUUCAAAGCAGAUUUCGAGUUGAGUUAUUUCUAGCUGGGCACAAACAGGGUUCCAUUUUCAUAGGCCUCACUCUUCCCUACUGCAUUACAUGGUUUCUUCUUCACUUCUACUACACUACUCCUUCUUUAAAUUACAGAAGCUUAAACAUAAACAAAAGUAGAACAAAGUGGCAUAAUGAAACACCACAAAUCCAUUACUUUGCUUCAAAAUUUCUUAGUACAAAGCUAUUAUUUUUUAUACCUACAUGCCUGUGCUGUAAAAUAGAUGGACUACUUUGAGCCAAAUCAAAGACAUCUUAUAACUUCAUUGGUAAAUAGCUUGUAUUUAUAAGUAGGUAAGAGACGUUCACUUUAAAAAGCACAAAUCAAAUAUCAAUUAAACAUUCAAAUCUCAAGAAUUCUCACAAUCCCCACCCCACCCACCCUCCUCUAUCUUCUCCAUCCCCAUUACACUAUCACUCUUCAUUUGACUGGUUCAAAUCAGAAGUCAAAUGAAGUUGACACGUUGUGUUUGGUUGAUAUGUCAACAAAGUCACUUAUAAUUUAUCAUUUCUUAUCUUGUAAUUUCUUUUUGAAAAUGUUGAGUUUAUCACAUUUGCCCUUUUCCCAGCAAAAGGCAUCCCAGUGUCUCCUCACUAUGGAGUGGAAGGAGCAAGAGGUUUAUAAUAGCAUCUUGUUAUAUUGAAGUCACAAGCUACCAGCAUCUUCUUAUAUUGAAGUCACAGGCAGGAUUUAAAUUCAUCUUAUAUGUAAGUAUGGUAUCCCAGUGUGUCAGUGAAGAGACAGAUGUUACUGAGAUCACCUUGCCCAGGGACGCAUCUCCUAAUAUCUGCAAGGAUGUCCUGUAUACCAAAAGUAUAGCUUCAUUCCUUCUAAUCCCAAAGACUCUCAAAUAAAGCAAAUCUGCGGGAGGACAAAGAUGAUGGUAAGCACAGAGGAGAAUGGGUAUCAAUCACUUACAUCAUUAGGAAGGAGUGAAAUCUUACAAUGAUCUUUCCCUCUGCUUUCUUCCUUUCAGGUGAUCUAACUUCCUGUGCCAGCAUCAUCAUUUUACAAUAAGAUUUGACUUUGGUUAAAGUUUGAAAUUCUCCUCUGAGGAAACACAUUUCAGGAUGUUAUCUUUCAUGCAUACCUUAUCAUGAAGAAAGGAUCCAACUAUUCAUAAUCUAGAUUUCCACUGAUUUCUUUAACCACAGUUUGAUAACAACCACCAGUGAGGUAGUCAGGUCCAGGUCUUAUGGAACUUUAUUCUGUUCAUUGGGAAUGUGGGUUUUAUUGAUGAGGGAGUGAUAAACUAUUGGAGAAUUCUCAAUUGUGGCGUCAUGUCUUCUGAGUUAUACUUUUACAGGAAUGAUUCUGGUUGCUCUGAAGGAACAGAUAGAUGUGGGGAGACAAGAAUAAAAGCAAGGAGGCUUGUAACUGGCUGUUUUCAUACUAGAGGAACUUCAGGACUGAAUCCUGCAGUAGAAGCAAGAACAGGCUAUUGGGAGACUCUGGUCCUCAACUGCACAAAGAAGGGCCCAUAUCCUCAACUCUGCCACAGACCUCUUUGAUUCCAGUUGGAAGCCUGGAGAUUUCACUGCUGCUGAGGAGGGUUCCAGGGACUGGGAAACCUGAGCUGUGAGCUGAGCUUGGGUGAUCUGUUUCCAUCUGUGGUCUGGUGCUGAUGGUUUCCAAGGCAGGAAUCAAGUCAGUCCUUGAAGAGCUACAACAGAGCAAAAGUGCAGGUAAACAAAGCAACACGAAGGCUAAAUAAAAGUCAUUUCCCCAAGCAAAAUAAGGGUAGGGACCUUCAGAUGGACAGAUUAGCCUGGAUUAAGCAGAUGGAGAAGCCGAGGAUCAAGGAUCGGGCCAGGAGCCAAGGAAUACUGCCACCUCUAGAAGUUGGGAACGGCCCUCAGCUUACAGCCACUAAGAAAAGGGGGAUUUUGGCCCUCUAGCUGCAAGGAAUCUAAUUCCACUUGAAUUAACAAGGAACAUCCAGGCAGGAAUGUAGCCCUGACAACACCCUAAUUUAGGCCAGUCAGGCCCGGACAGACUUCUGACCCACGGAAUUCUAAAAUAAUUUGUGUUUCUUAAACCAUCAAAUUUGUUGUAAUUUGUUAUGGUAGCAACAGGAAUCAAAUAUACCUCUCUACUUUUACAAGAUAUUGUUGUCUGCAGCCUGUUUGAAGUCGGUGACUAAACACAGCUGGUUACUAUGGCAGGCCCAUUCUGAAGAGUUGCAGGACACCCUCGGGAGUACUUUGGUUUGAAGCCUCCUCAUCACCUCGGCUGCCGUUUCUGGGAUCUGGGUUGCAGUCUGAGGCUCAUUUUUCCAAUUCCCAAUACUUCCUACUGAUGAUAUUCUUGAGAGUCAGGCUUUAUCAAGAGAGAAAAAGGACUUUAAAAUUUUCAAACUCCUUUUUAAAUAUCAGAGAUUUUUUUGGCCUACUUUGAUUACAGGUCCUUACUUAUAAGUCUCUCCUUCCUAGGGAGAAAAUAGAAAGCUUUAAGAGACAGAUUACACUUUACCUGACAUUCAUUUUUGCAUGCCUUGUUAAACAUGAAAGAAUGUGUUAAGGCCAUUUUUUAUUGUUUAAUUUGUUGUUUUGACUUUGGGUGUGUGUGUUUGUGUCAAUUAUUUUUUAAUCUACUAGAACAUUCAUUAUCCUUUUUAUUUUGGAAAACAAGGGUGAGAAAGGUUACGUGAUCUGGAGGUAAAAAUACACCAUUAUGUAAAGUUGAAGUGUCAUCCCCUGAAUCCACAUUGCACAUCUAUAAAGUAGAAGAACUUGUCUUACUCCAGUGUUUAGUAUUCGUUAGGUUAAUGUUUUUCAAACAAGCUUGAUAGUAAGAAGCAUUUGAGACUUUUGUUUAAAAUACAUCCCCCUCUACCACUGAAAGUUUAAUUUGGUAAGUUUGUUUGGACAUACAGAUUCUGUAUUUCUAAGAAAUAUUUAGAUGGUUUUUAUCAGACUUGGAGGU